RNAcentral lists this ribosomal RNA (253 nucleotides) under uncultured prokaryote. RNAcentral describes it as "partial 16S ribosomal RNA". It matches the Rfam family "Bacterial small subunit ribosomal RNA", at positions 524 to 776 of the family's 1533-position model. The record is from RNAcentral.
UACGUAGGGUGCAAGCGUUAAUCGGAAUUACUGGGCGUAAAGCGUGCGCAGGCGGUUCUAUAAGACAGAUGUGAAAUCCCCGGGCUCAACCUGGGAACUGCAUCCAAAACUGGCAAGCUAGAGUAGGGCAGAGGGUGGUGGAAUUUCCUGUGUAGCGGUGAAAUGCGUAGAUAUAGGAAGGAACACCAGUGGCGAAGGCGACCACCUGGGCUCAUACUGACACUGAGGUGCGAAAGCGUGGGGAGCAAACAGG